RNAcentral lists this unclassified non-coding RNA (90 nucleotides) under Pseudomonas gessardii. Lineage: Bacteria; Pseudomonadati; Pseudomonadota; Gammaproteobacteria; Pseudomonadales; Pseudomonadaceae. The record is from RNAcentral.
UGUGGGAGCGGGCUUGCCCGCGAUGACGGUGCAUCAGUCAAUAUUAUAAUUGGCUGACCCACCGCUAUCGCGGGCAAGCCCGCUCCCACA